Molecule: ribosomal RNA, 253 nt
Filed under: uncultured bacterium
Lineage: Bacteria
Description: partial 16S ribosomal RNA
Rfam family: Bacterial small subunit ribosomal RNA
Source: RNAcentral
UACGGGGGGGGCAAGCGUUGUUCGGAAUUACUGGGCGUAAAGGGCUCGUAGGCGGCCAACUAAGUCAGACGUGAAAUCCCCAGGCUCAACCUGGGAACUGCGUCUGGUACUGGAUGGCUUGAAUCCGGGAGAGGGAUGCAGAAUUCCAGGUGUAGCGGUGAAAUGCGUAGAUAUCUGGAGGAAUACCGGUGGCGAAGGCGGCAUCCUGGACCGGCAUUGACGCUGAGGAGCGAAAGCCAGGGGAGCGAACAGG